This is a long non-coding RNA of Lemur catta (Ring-tailed lemur), 198 nucleotides long. RefSeq lists it as uncharacterized. The transcript is spliced from 2 exons. The record is from RefSeq and is a predicted model, not a curated record. NCBI's taxonomy places the organism in Eukaryota, Metazoa, Chordata, Mammalia, Primates, Lemuridae.
GGUUUGAGGAGUGAAGAAUAGAAGAGGUGAACCCAGCUGGAAGGCUUUUGGAGUCCAAGAUGGUGGCUCUAAGCAGGAGAGUAGCAGUAGAGAAGUCUGAACGCCCAAAGAGGAAGAUAAAAAGCAAGUUUGCUGUUGGCUCAGCCACACAAGCCGUCCUUUGGGGCUCUGUGCUCAUUCAAUUUGCUCCACUCCAAA